AAACUUAAACGAAAUUGACGGAAGCGCCCCACCAGGGGUGGAGCCUGCGGCUUAAUUUGACUCAACACGGGGAAACUCACCAGGUCCAGACACGAUGAGGAUUGACAGAUUGAGAGCUCUUUCUUGAUUUCGUGGGUGGUGGUGCAUGGCCGUUCUUAGUUGGUGGAGUGAUUUGUCUGCUUAAUUGCGAUAACGAACGCGACCUUAACCUGCUAAAUAGCCCGUAUUGCUUUGGCAGUACGCCGGCUUCUUAGAGGGACUAUCGGCUCAAGCCGAUGGAAGUUUGAGGCAAUAACAGGUCUGUGAUGCCCUUAGAUGUUCUGGGCCGCACGCGCGCUACACUGACAGAGCCAGCGAGUACUCCCUUGGCCGAAAGGCCCGGGUGAUCUUGUUAAACUCUGUCGUGCUGGGGAUAGAGCAUAGCAAUUAUUGCUCUUCAACGAGGAAUCCCUAGUAAGCGCAAGUCAUCAGCUUGCGUUGAUUACGUCCCUGCCCUUUGUACACACCGCCCGUCGCUACUACCGAUUGAAUGGCUAAGCC
This 540-nucleotide ribosomal RNA is filed under the name uncultured Ascomycota. RNAcentral's name for it is "SSU rRNA". It matches the Rfam family "Eukaryotic small subunit ribosomal RNA", at positions 1140 to 1703 of the family's 1831-position model. Lineage: Eukaryota; Fungi; Ascomycota. The record is from RNAcentral.